GUGGUGGUUGCGUUUCCUGUUUUAAUCUUCUGUCUGUCACUAUUUGCAUCAAGGCCUUCCCCACUCUGCUGUUUUUGUUUCAGGAUGUGACGAUUGUUAACCAGGCUUGAACAAUCUGACUUCCCCUGUGGUCUGAAGCGCUGCCACUCUUCACAGGUGACACUGGCAUGUGCUUGGGUUGGCUUCAGGGCUCUCUGCUAAGCCCUGAAAUCUGCUGAUGUGCUUGUGCUCAUGCUCUUCCUUCAGGGGUUUGCAGUGGCACAUGCUCGGAAUACUCUUUCUAGUGAUUGUCCUGCCUAUUCUUGUUUAUGAGAUGCUUUCCCAAAAGAAUCUUACAACCAGUGUGUCUACUAUGUCCCAUUUCCUUUGGCACUUCAUUGUAAUUUGCAUUAUUCAGACAGAUUUAGGGUUAGGUCUUCCUGUGUGAGAACAGAGCCCUCUUGCUGUCUCAGCAGUGCCCCAUGAUCCCCAGGAGUACCCGAAGAUCUUCUUGCAUGUUUUUCAACUUCAUUUCUCGUGCUGCUCCUGUUUGGGAAUCUCUUUCUCGUCCUCUUUUCUGAUAUCUGUGUGUUCAGAGGCUCCUGGUUAUUGGUGUGUGCCCAGCGGUAGAGCUUCUGCUUGACACUUGCCUGGCGGGAGGGAGAUUGGAGACAGAUGUGCCUUAUUGUUUGAGGGACCACAGAGCUGCAGUAGCUAUCAACUGCCGUGUAACAAGCCACCCAAACCUAGUGCUUAAAACCCCAAUAAACAUUUAUGAUCUCGCUGCUGGAAGUGACAAGGUGUGGUUCCGGCUUGGCGUCUACUGAGGCUGCAGUCAGGCUGUUGGCCAGGGCUGGAGGUUGGCAGGAGCCUCAGUUCUCCCCGAUAUAGCUCCCCUCUGGGAGGAGUGGUCCUGGGGUGUCCCCCAACAUGUGUGGUCAGAGAGAGCAGGGAGGGAGGAAGUUGGCAGUCUUUUUUGAUACCCAGCCAGUUUUGUACCAGGCUCCCUGGUUGCUCAGGUUGGCCUUUGCAGUGGGCGAGAUCAGGAUCCUGCGCCCACAGUUUCCUGGCUCAGCUGGGGAUCAGCUGGCUGUGUAGCCUUUGGGGUGACUGCUGCGCUCAGCUGAUGGCGGCCCUUCUCCACAAGGCCAGGAGGUUAGGCACAGCUCAAGAGAGGUCGUGUAAUGCUCCUGGCUCUUCAAGUCAUAGCUUGGACCUCUUCAUUUGUUUUAGGGGAUUGGAUGUAGUCACUAGAGCCUCAGAGGGAUGUUUCCUUUUAGGAAAGGGCCCCUCCCCCUGCAGAACUCUCAGCCCGUUCCCCCUCCCCAGUACUCCUUCCUAGCCAGAGUGCACUUGUGCGGGCUCCGGGGUCUGCAAGAAAGUGCUCCUCACCUCCACUAGGAAUACCUUUUAAACCCCAAAUGGGCAUGGCACCAUUAGCCAUCUGCCCAGGUUGAAACUCCUCCUCCGUACACCCAAGGCCACAGAAGAAUGUGUGUGUGUGAGGCUGGGGCCAAGAAGGGCUGACCCCAGGGUACCCCAGGACUCUUCCUACUUUCAUCCGCAGUCCAGGGAGCUCCACCAAGGCUGG
RNAcentral lists this long non-coding RNA (1570 nucleotides) under Marmota monax (woodchuck). Lineage: Eukaryota; Metazoa; Chordata; Mammalia; Rodentia; Sciuridae. The record is from RNAcentral.